This 2615-nucleotide long non-coding RNA is filed under the name Nicotiana benthamiana. RNAcentral's name for it is "long non-coding RNA (NBEN_LNC027293)". Lineage: Eukaryota; Viridiplantae; Streptophyta; Magnoliopsida; Solanales; Solanaceae. The record is from RNAcentral.
AGUAAUUCAGUUCAAAUUCAAUUACUGAACAAAUCAUAAUUAGUCACCUCAUAGAACAUGGUAGCUUCAGUGCAUGAAAGUCAAAAAAAAUCAUGCUCUACUAUGUCCCAUCACCAAUCCUCUCAAGUAACACACUCUUUGUUUGGAAACUAGGGAAGGAUGGGAAUCCCUUCAUGUUGCUUGGUCAGAGAAGAAACGGAGACAGAAAAUGAGCGUCUGAAUAAAAGGACUCAGUCCCCGUGAACGGCCUAAUGUCCGCCGCCCUUUUUCUUCAUUCACUUGGUAUCGAAUCUCUCGAUUCAUUGGGUAUUUUUCACUAAAGUGAGGGAAAGUAUUAAUUUGAAUAAUCUUCUUUUUUCCUUCAUCCUGAUAAGGUAAUUUUUUAUCUUUAGCCAACAUAAUAUUCACUCCCCUUCCUUCCCAAUUUCCAGACAAAACAUCAAUUUAAGGAUUAGAAAACUAUCUUCUAGAUGAUGAAAGAAAUUCAUUUUUUGCCUUUUAAUAUUAAAAACAAAACCUCAUAGAUGAGCAAAGGCAUCGAGGAGAUGCAUACAUGGGUGAAGAAGAGAACUAAGAUUGAAACAGAGACGAAUAAUGUACAUUAGACUAUGAUAAUGUGACUAACAAACUUCUCUCCCAUCAAAAUCUGGAUGCUGGAAUAGCCAAUUGGAAAUGCAAUAACACAUAACUGAUAUAAGUGACAGUGACUAAAAAUAUACUAAGACGUCCUACAUUAAGAGUGAUUCUGUUCAAAUUCAAUUACUGAACAAAUCAUAAUUAGUCACCUCAUAGAACAUGGUAGCUUCAGUGCAUGAAGGUCAAAAAAAUUCAUGUUCUACUAUUUCCCAUCACCAAUCCUCUCAAAUAACACAAUCUUUGUUUGGAAACUAGGGAAGGAUGGGAAUCCCUUAUUGUUGCUUGGUCAGAGAAGAAACGGAGACAGAAAAUCUCUCGAUUCAUUGGGUAUUUUUCACUAAAGUGAGGGAAAUUAUUAAUUUGAAUAAUCUUCUUUUUUCCUUCAUCCUGAUAAAGUAAUUUUUUAUCUUUAGCCAACAUAAUAUUCACUUAGAGACUUCAGCAGCUGAUUUUCCUCCCUGAAAUCUCUGCUUUGCUCCCUAACCACACAAAGAAGAGAGAAUGUCUCAAUUUAUUAAUCAUUUUCCACCCUUUACCCCUUCCUUCCCAAUUUCCAGACAAAACAUCAAUUUAAGGAUUGAAAACUAUCUUCUAGAUGAUGAAAGAAAUUCUUUUUUUGCCUUUUAAUAUUAAAACAAAACCUCAUAGAUGAGCAAAGGCAUCGAGGAGAUGCAUACAUGGGAGAAGAAGAGAACUAAGAUUGAAACAGAGACAAAUAAUGUACAUUAGACUAUGAUAAUGUGACUAACAAACUUCUCUCCCAUCAAAAUCUGGAUGCUGGAAUAGCCAAUUGGAAAUGCAAUAACACAUAACUGAUAUAAGUGACAGUGACUAAAAAUAUACUAAGACGUCCUACAUUAAGAGUGAUUCUGUUCAAAUUCAAUUACUGAACAAAUCAUAAUUAGUCACCUCAUAGAACAUGGUAGCUUCAGUGCAUGAAGGUCAAAAAAAUUCAUGUUCUACUAUUUCCCAUCACCAAUCCUCUCAAAUAACACAAUCUUUGUUUGGAAACUAGGGAAGGAUGGGAAUCCCUUAUUGUUGCUUGGUCAGAGAAGAAACGGAGACAGAAAAUCUCUCGAUUCAUUGGGUAUUUUUCACUAAAGUGAGGGAAAUUAUUAAUUUGAAUAAUCUUCUUUUUUCCUUCAUCCUGAUAAAGUAAUUUUUUAUCUUUAGCCAACAUAAUAUUCACUUAGAGACUUCAGCAGCUGAUUUUCCUCCCUGAAAUCUCUGCUUUGCUCCCUAACCACACAAAGAAGAGAGAAUGUCUCAAUUUAUUAAUCAUUUUCCACCCUUUACCCCUUCCUUCCCAAUUUCCAGACAAAACAUCAAUUUAAGGAUUGAAAACUAUCUUCUAGAUGAUGAAAGAAAUUCUUUUUUUGCCUUUUAAUAUUAAAACAAAACCUCAUAGAUGAGCAAAGGCAUCGAGGAGAUGCAUACAUGGGAGAAGAAGAGAACUAAGAUUGAAACAGAGACAAAUAAUGUACAUUAGACUAUGAUAAUGUGACUAAACGUCUAUAGAUAUUGAAAGUGCCUUGAUCUCCUAUUAUCCAAUUGUGAAUUGAAUGGGUAAAAAAGCAUGCACCUUAUUACAUCCUAAAAGCGGAAGAAAACGAAAUCCUCGUGAAACUUACUUGAUUUAAGGGCCACUGGAUAAGCCAGAGCUCGGUUGAGUCUGCUGAGUUCAGAUUAAUAAGUGAAUCCUUUUUUACCUCCUCAAAUUCUGGGGCAGGUUUGUAGCUAAGUUCUUUCGGAGGAUCCAUAAUAAUGAAAUAUAAUCAAUAAGAGCGUUUGUUCUCGAAGAUUGCAGACCAAGCACCUCCUUAACCACAGGCAAAAUCGAAGAACUGAAGAAGAUGGAACUUUGAAGAAGAAGGCAAGAAGCUGCGCAGCCAAGGGAGUGUUAGGGUUAGGCUUUUUAGUUUUUACUCUGCCAGCAGCCAGUAUAUAACUAUAUAUAUAUGCAAGGGUUAGGUUAGGGC